CCAUUGAAGCCAUCCAAACCCGUGCAUGAGAAUGCCUGGUAACAACCAACCUGGUUCCAUCUCUUGCACGAUAGAUCCAACGCGAAAAAGGACCUUAAGUAAGAUGCAUUUUUCGAGCUUAGAGUUUUAUUUCUUUUUUGUACAACCAUGUCACCAUCGUUUGCCAGAUUGUUCCGAAAACAACCGGAUGCAUUUUCUGUUUCUUCCAACCCUCAGCCUCCUGGUUAAACUGCAGCAGCGAAGUCUCACUGAGGGUAACGGCCCUUAACAUACCACAUUUGGUUGGUACACCACCCGUACCAUAUGUGAAGUUUGUUGGUUUUGUACAUUUUUGGUUCAUUUUAUGAUCCUCUCAAAACACAAUAAGAAUAUGUGCGUAAAGCGUACCAGAAGAAAGCGGUUCAGAGUUUGUGCAGCAGCAGCAGCAGCUCUCCCUUUGCGCAGAAUGAUAAACACGUGAUCGCCAUACGGAGUGCAUGCGGCACAAUAUUCCAAAGAUCGUUGGCAAACCAGAACUCGGCAUCUUUUUGCGUGUUUGAACAUUGCUCGCGAGCAGAGACCAAGUAAAGGAAUGGUCGGGUUUUUCGCAGGAGCUCGCGCGUGUGUCGUCUAAAAUGUGUGUGGUUAAUGUGAUUCUUCUUCUAACUCCUUUCCCUUGAAUGUGUCCCCUGAUCCCCCCCUCCAAAAAAACGGAUCCUUUAGUGUCAGACCUGACUCAGUGACGUAACGCGUGUGCGCGAUCACCAACGCCGCAUGAUGAGCAUUUGGUACAAGAAGCAAAGCUGCGAAAGUUCCAUGCUUCCUUGCAUUCAAUAGUAUGUUUGUAAAACCCUAUGGAAUGUAAAGAAGUAUGGAGCGAUUGGGCUAGUUCAGCAGGAGAGCAGGCGUUACAAAAAUAUAAAACCGAUUAUUUGCAGCCAAUAUUCAACCUCUAUUUAAUCCUAACCCGCAACCCAAUUGGUUGCCAAUCGUGAAAUAAAAAACAAACUAUUCUUUCAGCGUAAAAAGCAGCCGCAGCACGUACACAGCUUCAUUCUAGCGAAGAUCCUGCUAUUUAUAGCAUAUAAUGCCGCCUGCGGGACAGCCCUUCACUACACCGCUGCUGUGGCUUCGUGAUUUCAGCCGUCGUUAAGGCGGUACGCAUCAUCUCGCUUUUCUGACCGGCCGCGCAAAACGUUGCAGCAGCAGCAGCAGCAAGCAAGAUUGCGUUGGACGAGAAGGACGAGUAGUUAGGCCGCCACUGAGCCGUAUCGAGGAGGAUGUAAAAAUAUCUUCAGCUCCCGAGCGCGCACACUGCGAGCAAUGGACUCUGAUCGAGCGCCUCUCAACGCAUGCGCCUGCGUGACACGAGAUCGGUGCGCUGCCUGUGCCCAGAGGGCAACGGCAGAGGGAGAGAGCAUUUCUAUUAUUUUUAGAAUCCUAGGACACAAGAUCGUCACUCGUCACACUCGUGCACAGAUUUUGUUCUAAAAGAUGUCAUUUCUAGGAGCCGUUUGGGAUUGCGCAGGUUUUGGGACUCAUUUUACGUGGUGGGCCGGUGUAGAGCUUGGAAGAUGGUCGGGACCCUCGUUUGAGAUACAAUUAGAGGAAUUUAACGUUUGAGAUACAAAAAAGGAAUGUAGAAAAAUAGAAUUUAAAAAAAAUACAAAAAUGGAUGUGACAAUGAUUUCAAUGAUGAUGAUAUGAUCGCAAAUAGCUGUAAUGUGAUUUUAAGCAAGAAAAGUAAUAAAGACAUACUAUUCAACUAUAAUAUAUGCUGAAAUCUAUGCAA
Molecule: long non-coding RNA, 1771 nt
Organism: Anopheles gambiae (African malaria mosquito)
Lineage: Eukaryota; Metazoa; Arthropoda; Insecta; Diptera; Culicidae
Exons: 2
Source: RefSeq, a predicted model, not a curated record